RNAcentral lists this ribosomal RNA (466 nucleotides) under uncultured bacterium. Its description in RNAcentral is "bacterial SSU rRNA". It matches the Rfam family "Bacterial small subunit ribosomal RNA", at positions 917 to 1382 of the family's 1533-position model. The record is from RNAcentral.
GGGCCCGCACAAGCGGCGGAGCAUGCGGAUUAAUUCGAUGCAACGCGAAGAACCUUACCUGGGCUUGACAUGUUCCCGACGGUCGUAGAGAUACGGCUUCCCUUCGGGGCGGGUUCACAGGUGGUGCAUGGUCGUCGUCAGCUCGUGUCGUGAGAUGUUGGGUUAAGUCCCGCAACGAGCGCAACCCUCGCCCCGUGUUGCCAGCGGAUUAUGCCGGGAACUCACGGGGGACCGCCGGGGUUAACUCGGAGGAAGGUGGGGAUGACGUCAGAUCAUCAUGCCCCUUACGUCCAGGGCUUCACGCAUGCUACAAUGGCCGGUACAACGGGAUGCGACGCGGCGACGCGGAGCGGAUCCCUGAAAACCGGUCUCAGUUCGGAUCGCAGUCUGCAACUCGACUGCGUGAAGGCGGAGUCGCUAGUAAUCGCGAAUCAGCAACGUCGCGGUGAAUGCGUUCCCGGGCCUU